Meleagris gallopavo (turkey) is the source of this 252-nucleotide non-coding RNA. The record is from RefSeq and is a predicted model, not a curated record. NCBI's taxonomy places the organism in Eukaryota, Metazoa, Chordata, Aves, Galliformes, Phasianidae.
AGGCAAUACAGUCAUUUGACAUCUUUAGAAGCAGUAUCAUCAACACCUAUAGACAACAGACAUUCACCAGAGGAACAGCAGAAAGGACUAACUCUUGGAAGAUAUGAGUAAAGUUUUGGUAACUCUAAAAGACACGGAAGAAGUUUAAAGCCAUUUAACAUUCUGAGAAAAGAGCAAUGGCAGAAAGUGGAAAAUGCUAUCAGCAAAGAGAAAGUAAGAAAAUACUCACUGCAGGACCUGGGCGGCCUCGUA